UACAGAGGGGGCAAGCGUUGUUCGGAAUUACUGGGCGUAAAGGGCGCGUAGGCGGCCCGCUAAGUCGAACGUGAAAUCCCCGAGCUCAACUCGGGAACUGCGUCCGAUACUGGUGGGCUUGAAUCCGGGAGAGGGAUGCGGAAUUCCAGGUGUAGCGGUGAAAUGCGUAGAUAUCGGGAGGAACACCAGUGGCGAAGGCGGCGACCUGGGCCAAUAUUGACGCUGAGGUGCGAAAGCGUGGGGAGCAAACAGG
This 253-nucleotide ribosomal RNA is filed under the name uncultured bacterium. RNAcentral's name for it is "partial 16S ribosomal RNA". It matches the Rfam family "Bacterial small subunit ribosomal RNA", at positions 524 to 776 of the family's 1533-position model. The record is from RNAcentral.